RNAcentral lists this ribosomal RNA (253 nucleotides) under uncultured bacterium. Its description in RNAcentral is "partial 16S ribosomal RNA". It matches the Rfam family "Bacterial small subunit ribosomal RNA", at positions 524 to 776 of the family's 1533-position model. The record is from RNAcentral.
UACGUAGGGUGCAAGCGUUGUCCGGAAUUAUCGGGCGUAAAGAGCUCGUAGGCGGUUUGUCGCGUCGAAUGUGAAAACCCGGGGCUCAACCCCGGGCCUGCAUUCGAUACGGGCAGACUAGAGUUCGGUAGGGGAGUCUGGAAUUCCUGGUGUAGCGGUGAAAUGCGCAGAUAUCAGGAGGAACACCGGUGGCGAAGGCGGGACUCUGGGCCGAUACUGACGCUGAGGAGCGAAAGCGUGGGGAGCGAACAGG